UGGGCAUUCCUUGGCCUUCCUUUCACCACCUGUUACCUCAUUUCAUUCAGAAUUCCUGGAAGAGGCUGCGCUGGAAUCCCUGGUUUUCCUCAAGUGUGGAAAACACAGCACUGAUGAGAUACCAGUUGAUUUUCAGCAGUAAACUUGUAAGAAAUCGUGACUGAUGUGUAUUUAUUUUUAUAGUUAUCUCCUGCUUUGGUGAGAAAUACUGGGCUUCCAGUUAGUAUAGCAAUGAACUGUUUCCCUUAUGUUUAACUUUACUUAUUUAUUAUUAUUUUUAAAUAAAAAUAACUCUUUGUUUUCGAGACAGGGGCUUGCUCUGUUGCUCAGGAUGGAGUGCCGUGGUGUGACCUUGGCUCACUGAAGCCUCGAACUAACUCCUGGGCUCAAGUGAUUCCCCUGCCUCAGCCUGCAGAGUAGCUGGGACCAUGGAAACGCUCCCGGCUCAGGGCGCCCUGCGUCCCUGGCGCCACCUGGUGUUCCCGCGGCGCCAGCGCAGCCUCUGAGGCCGUCCCGCUCCUUCCACCCGAGCGCGAGGGAGACUCCGGGGCCACCCGCCACAGCCAUAGCUUCUGGGAGCCGGUGGCAAGGCCGAAUUGGGAUGCAGACCAAAUGCACGUGGGUGAUUGGCAGAAAAAGCCUCCCACAGAUGGAGGGAUUUCGGAGGGAACCGAAAAAAAAAAAAGUUGGACUGCUGAGGUCCACUCCAGGCCCUGCUUGCCUGGGGAACUCCUGUAGCAGCUGCGGAACCAUGAGGAUUGCUACCAGAUUCUUCUUCUGCUAUCUUUGUCCCAGAAUGAUGCCCACCAAAUGUCAGUCUGGUAAGUCCUUUGUGAGGUAACUCUUUGUAUAUACAGGGGUCAGGAGGCUGUUUGAGGAGACUGUCUGUGCUUUAUAGGAGCUCAAGUGCUGAGCUGUGAGCUCCGUUGUUCAUUCAGGGCUGCUAGGCACGUACAUUUAAGUCUGCUGCAGCAGAACUCAUAAAGCCCCCCCCCUUUUUUUUAGGUGCUCUGUCCUGGGGAUUUAGGGCUCCAUUUAUGGGUAUCUGUUGCACUGUCCUGCCCAGCAAGGGGGCAGUCUAAUCACUACUUGCCUUCAGUGGCUAUGCUGAGCUGCCGUGGGCUCCGCCCUGUUGCUGUGGGCUCCGCCCUUCUGCCGUGUGUAAUUCCCUGUAGUCCCGUUUAUAUGGGUGUGCUCACCUCUGUAGUGGUGGACUCUCUCUGUUAUUGCAGGUUUCCCCGGCAACGGUGGGUUGCCUCGGCAAUGGCAGGCUGUGUCAGCAAUGGUAGUGUAGCUCCAUAGGGGUUGAGUGCCUCGGUAAUGGCGGACACCCCUCCCCCUCUGAGCUGCACUGUCCUGGGUUCCACUGUGCUUGCCAUGAAACUCUCAACCCGGAGCGUUUCCAAUUGUUGUUUUGUUUGUUUUUGUGGGUGUGGGUCCCACUGAGCCUGAUCACCUGGCUUCCUGCCUCAGAGCCCCCCCCCCUUUUUUUUUAAGUUGAGUGGUUGACUUUCUCUGAGGUGUUCCAGUCACCUGCUGCAAAGGUGCCGGGAUCUGUGUGAUUUCCCAUGCAGUGACCCACCUCCCGGCUCAAACCAUGUUGCUGCCUGGGAAUCUCCUGGGCUGGCUUUCUGUUUAAGUCUCAUUUAAUUAGAUGAAUGUGCUAAUUUGCCUUCUGAAAUCUCCAAUUGCUGGUUUAACGGGGAAACCAAACCAGCAUAUUUUGUAUGGAGUGUCACUGCGCUGCAGCCUCAGCUCAAACAGCUGGACCGGCCCGUGGGGCUCUUACACCUGGGAAUCUCUAGUCUGUGGACAAUAAAGAUCUGUAUGGAAAUGUCGUGUCCAGUCACUCUCUGCAUAUUGACUGGGAGCUGCAAUCCUGAGUUGGUCCUCAGUAUCUACUUUUUAAUUAAAAUAUUUAAAUAUUUAGAUCAUUUACAUUUAAUAUAAUGAAAAAGUUGAGUUUAAGCCUGACAUCUUGAUAUUUUGCUUUUAAUUUAAAAAAUUUUUCUUUUUAUUUCUUAAAUCUACCUCAUUGUCUGACUUUUUUUUUUAAUUUGCUUCAUCUGCUCUUUACUCUCUAUAUAUCUCCAUUUUUUAGCCUUUGGUAUGGUUUGGAUAUUGUCCCCUCUAAAUCUCAUGUUGAAUUUUCAUCCCUAGUGUUGGAGUUUGGGCCUGGUGGGAGAUGUUUUGAUUGUGGUUUGGUGCUAUCUUUGCAAUAGUGAGUGAAUUCUUAUAAGAUGCGGUUGUUUAAAAGUGUGUGGCACCUCCCUCCACUCCAACUCUCUCUUGUUUCUACUCUGGCCAUGUGAUAUGCCUACUCCUGUUUCACCUUCCACCAUGAGUAAACGCUUCCUGAGACCUCACCAGAAACUGAGCAGAUGCCCAAUGCCAUGCUUCCUGUGCAGCCUACAGAACAAUGAGCCAAUUAAAUCUCUUUUCUUUAUAAAUUACCCAGUCUUAGGUGUUUCUUUAGAGUAAUGCAAGAAUAGCUAAUGCAGCUUUCUUUUGAAUUGAGUGUUUUUCGAGUCCACUUUAUCUGCUAAUGUCUUAUUAACUGAAUAUCUUUUAAACAGUUUUCUUGUAGUUACUUUAGGGCUUAAAAUACACAUCAAUAGCCAGACACAGUGGCUCACACCUGUAAUCCCAGCACUUUGAGAGGCUGAGAUGGGUGGAUUACUUGAGGCCAGGAGUUUGAGACCAGCCUGGCCAAAAUGGUGAAAUCCUGUAUCUACUAAAAAUAAAAAAAAAUUAGCUGGGCAUGGUGGUUUGCACCUGUGGUCCCAGCUACUUGGAGUCUGAGGUAAGAGAAUUGCUUGAAUCCAGGAGGUGAAGGCUACAGUGAGCUGAGAUCAUGCCACUGUGCUCCAGCCUGGGCAGCAGAGUGAGACACUGUCUCAAAAAAAAAAAAAAAAAAAGGAAAAAUGAAACAUGAAAUAAAAUAUACAUCAACAUCACAGGCUGCCUUCAAAUAUUGUAUCAUUUAAUGAACAAUAUAAGAGUCUUACAAUAAUAUACUUCAAUCUCUCCUCCCAUGCUUUGUGCACAUAUUUUAUGUCUUUAUAUGUUACGAAUCCUCAAUAUAUUUGUUAUAAUUUUUUCUUUUAUCAAUUAUCUUUAAUAAAACUUAAAAGUGAAAAGAAAAUAUUUUAUAUUUACUGUUUCUCAUACUUUUAUUCUUUUGUUUAUAUGCAAGCAUUCAUUUCAAUAAUUUUCCACUGCCUGAAGCACUUUUUAAAAAUAUUUUUUGUAGUGUAGUUAUGCUAGUGAUACAUUAUCUUAGAUUUUGCUUCUGAAAAUAUUUUUAUUUGCCUUCAUUUUUUUUUAGAUGGAAUCUUGCUCUGUCACCCAGGCUGGAGUGCAGUGGUGCAGUCUUGGCUCAUUACAACCUCUGCCUCCAGAGUUGAAGUGAUUCUCCUCCCUCAGCCUCCCAAAUAGCUGGGAUUACAGAUGCCUGCCACCACACCCAGCUAAUUUUUGUAUUUUUUAGUAGAGACAAGGUUUCACCAUGUUGGCCAGGCUUGUCUUGACUGCCUGAUCUCCAGUGAUGUGUCCGCCGUGGCCUCCCAAAGUGCUGGGAUUACAGGUGGGGGUCACCAUGUUGGGCCUGCUUUCAUUUUUGAGAUAUACUUUUACUGUGUAUAGAAUCCUAAGAUGACAAUUAUGUUUUUCUCUUAGCAUUUUAAAGAUGUUAUCACAUUUCUGGAUUUCUGAUGAAGGUCUGAAAUUAUUUUUAUCUUUGUUUAUCUGUACACAAUGAGUCUAUUUUUUUCCUCUGGCUUUCAGGAAUUGAUUAAGAUGUGUCUUGAUGUGCUUUGCUUUAUAUUUAUUUUGUUUGAAGUUUGUUGAACUUUUUGGCUCUUUUUCUGAUUUUCAUUAAAUUUGUAAAAAAAAGUUGGCAUUAUUUCUUUCAAAGUUUUCUUGUGCUUCUUUACCUCUUUCUUUGGGACUCCAAUUAUGUGGACAUUAAACUGUUUGAUUUUGUUCCAUACUAUAUUAAGACUGUUCAUUUUUAUAUUUUUGUUUUUUGCCUUAUUUUGGUUAGUUACUACUGCUACUUC
Molecule: long non-coding RNA, 4061 nt
Filed under: Callithrix jacchus (white-tufted-ear marmoset)
Lineage: Eukaryota; Metazoa; Chordata; Mammalia; Primates; Cebidae
Description: lncRNA (ENSCJAG00000075953.1)
Source: RNAcentral